CAGCCGCCGCGGUAAUACGUAGGGGGCGAGCGUUACCCGGAUUCACUGGGCGUAAAGGGGGUGUAGGCGGCUCGGUAAGUCGGGUGUGAAAUCCCACGGCUCAACCGUGGAAUUGCGCCCGAAACUGCCGAGCUUGGGGCCGGUAGAGGGAGACGGAACUGCCGGUGUAGGGGUGAAAUCCGUAGAUAUCGGCAGGAACGCCGGUGGGGAAGCCGGUCUCCUGGGCCGCGCCCGACGCUGAGGCCCGAAAGCUAGGGGAGCAAACCGGAUUAGAUCCCCGGGUAGUCCUAGCCGUAAACGAUGCCCACUAGGUGUGGGGGGUUAAUCCCUCCGUGCCGAAGCUAACGCAUUAAGUGCCCCGCCUGGGGAGUACGGCCGCAAGGUUGAAACUUAAAGGAAUUGGCGGG
RNAcentral lists this ribosomal RNA (407 nucleotides) under uncultured microorganism. RNAcentral describes it as "bacterial SSU rRNA". It matches the Rfam family "Bacterial small subunit ribosomal RNA", at positions 509 to 917 of the family's 1533-position model. The record is from RNAcentral.